UUCUCCUACGGGACGCAGCAGUGGGGAAUAUUGGGCAAUGGGCGCAAGCCUGACCCAGCAACGCCGCGUGAAGGAAGAGGGCUCUCGGGUUGUAAACUUCUUUUAUCAGGGACGAAGCAAGUGACGGUACCUGAUGAAUAAGCCACGGCUAACUACGUGCCAGCAGCCGCGGUAAUACGUAGGUGGCAAGCGUUAUCCGGAUUUACUGGGUGUAAAGGGCGUGUAGGCGGGAAAGCAAGUCAGAUGUGAAAACCAUGGGCUCAACCUGUGGCCUGCAUUUGAAACUGUUUUUCUUGAGUACUGGG
This 305-nucleotide ribosomal RNA is filed under the name uncultured bacterium. RNAcentral describes it as "bacterial SSU rRNA". It matches the Rfam family "Bacterial small subunit ribosomal RNA", at positions 334 to 653 of the family's 1533-position model. The record is from RNAcentral.